AGAAGAUAUUGCCGCCACCGAAGGCGGAGGAGGGAAGGACGGCCAAGAGCGACGCCGCCGUGUGCCCAACGGUCGGUGUCCCCGGCUGAGGCAGCGCGGCCGCAGCAGCCCCGUUUGAUCUGUGGAUGAAAUGAAUCAUGAUUUUCAAGCUCUUGCAUUAGAAUCUCGGGGAAUGGGAGAGAUGCAGAAAAAGAGUCCAGUCACUCCUCUGGGCCACAAGAGGGCACCCUGCAGCUAGCUAACCCUUCCCUUCUCCAGAACAGCGUUUUCCAAAGAGUUUGUCAUUUUC
Leptonychotes weddellii (Weddell seal) is the source of this 289-nucleotide non-coding RNA. Lineage: Eukaryota; Metazoa; Chordata; Mammalia; Carnivora; Phocidae. The record is from RefSeq and is a predicted model, not a curated record.